RNAcentral lists this ribosomal RNA (252 nucleotides) under uncultured bacterium. RNAcentral describes it as "partial 16S ribosomal RNA". It matches the Rfam family "Bacterial small subunit ribosomal RNA", at positions 524 to 776 of the family's 1533-position model. The record is from RNAcentral.
UACGUAGGGAGCGAGCGUUAUCCGGAUUUAUUGGGCGUAAAGCGUGUGUAGGCGGUUUACUAAGUAUAAGAUUAAAGCCUGAGGCUCAACCUCAGUUCGUUUUAUAAACUGGUAGACUUGAGUGUAGUAGAGGUAAGUGGAAUUUCUAGUGUAGCGGUAAAAUGUGUAGAUAUUAGAAGGAACAUCAGUGGCGAAGGCGACUUACUGGGCUAUUACUGACGCUGAGGCACGAAAGCGUGGGGAGCAAAUAGG